GCGCAUUAAGCUUGCGCGCCUUAAACAAACAGUAGACGGAGAAACCGAACACAACAAGAAGACGACGAAAAUGGCGAGUGUAAGGAAACCAGAAUCUUUCGUGUGGACCGAUAAUGAGGCCGAACUGCUGCUGCGACUCACACUCAACUACAAGGCAAAUUGAUCGUGUUAUAAGAGGGGGUUCUGUACCGGUCUUGGCGUCCACGGAGAAGUAAGGCUGGCCCUCCAGGAUGCUGUACACCACACGAGCGCUGUUGCCAUACGUCGGGUCGUCGGCAUCUGUGGCGGUCAGCUGGAUCACAGAUGUUCCUGCAUAAACAUGGAGGGGAAAAAGGUGAAGAUCAUCUCCACACACCAGCUAAUGACUGAGCCGGUGUCGUCCGUCCCCCCAGAGGGCUGCUGGUUCCCAGUCCAACCGGUGAAUACCCUGAAGUCAGGAGCUAAAGAUAAACAGUGACGACGACUGACGGACCCCUUGAGCAAGGCGCUGCGUCCCCUGCCAGCUCCGGGAGAAGUCCAGUUGACCCCCGGUGCUUCAAAAAAAUUGAAGAAAAAAAAGACAGAACCGAGAGCGACAGACCUCCCGAUCAACUCCUUCCUUCCUCGGUGCUGCUGCUGCUGCUGCUGCUGCUGCUGCUCCCGGCGCUCAGGACUGAGAGAGGGAUAAGUGUGAGGCAAAGUAAUCUUCAGCUUAAGCUCAGGCGUCGGGGACCUUGAAGCCGUGAUCACAAUGCCAGAGGCGGCGUAGCUCGUAAGACAAAAGGAAAAUCUGGGGAGAGGAUGGCGACGGCGGCGGUUGGAAGUGGAGAUGUACACGAGGAGAUGCAGCGACCGCCGAGCACCAGACCUGGAGAAUAUCAUGUCUGCCUCAUUAAAACACGACACUCACGGUGAGAGGAAAAUAAGGUCCUGACAACACAAUCAAUAAGCGAGCUUUAAUAAAGGAAGCUGUAAUCCAAAGUCCAAAAUGCAAGAAGCAAAACUAGAACACGACGGGGAGGUUUCCCUGAGCAGCUGCAAGAAGAAGAGGAAGAAGAAAUGUCCAGCCCACGUAUGUGUUAUAAACACAACAACAAACGCACAAAAGAAUUACUUGAUGCUCCGUCACCUGAAGCCUUACGUAUCUCCUGCUGCUGAAGGUUUCUGGACUGCUGGAGCUGCGAUGGACAACAUAACGAAACUGCCAUGGUGGAUCGGAGACGGACCGAACCCGGAUCUGGUGGAAUUUAGGGGUGAUGCUGAUGAAACAAUCAAGCUGGUGAAUCUGCAAAGACGUUGUCAUUUUUUAAAUGGACAUCAGCAUCAUGCAUCAAAUGGAGUAUGUCUUUCAGUAGCAAGUGGUCCCUUUGUUGACGUUGCUGCUUCUUUUCUCUUUCUAAAGCACAACAAAUUCAAUUCCUUUCACCUCCAUUGAAUUGGGGCGGUGGCUAAAAACCAAUACAUAUGUAUCAGAUUUAAAACAAAAAUAACAGAAUCAGUUUUCUAUUAAUCUGAGUGAGCCACGCUUUUAAAAGUGCAAAUGUGGAUGUUAAUUCGAUGCCUGUAGCGUUACAGCGUGCCGAAAAUGUAAAUUUAUGUAGAUGAUCAUGUGGAUUAUUACUUCAACUAAAAGAUCUCUUCUUCUGCUACAUGACUUGAUAAAGGCAGCCUGAACCUAAUUACAGCCCCCUCAGGUUAAUUUAUUCCUGGAGCUGUUACGUCCCAUCACCAGGACACAUGGUAUGCAGUAAUGGAGGCUUCAGCCUGACUGCACACACGUUUCUGUAAACACUAUAACUUAGAGACGAUUCAAGAGAGGAACAUCAAACUCACCAAGGCUCAUUCUCGAGGGGGAGAAAAGACCGAAUCUCACCUGGAUUCACCUCUAAAACUCCCAGGAGUCCUGACAGUAGGUUGUUCUUAAAGCACACACGUGAGGAGAUGGAUGUUGGGACAAUUGUGGAGGAGAAAUUGGCUUCAUUAAUGACCAAACAUGUUGUUGUUAUCAUGUUAUGAGGAUGUUGGGAGGCCAUGAGUCCUGUGUGAGAUUUUAGCCAUGCUGGCGGCUUGAUGGAUGGUGAUAGCAGCAGGUCAGUUUGAAAGGAUUUCAAAAUCUAUUGGAGGUAUUGGCGUAAAAUUUGGUGUAGACAUUCAUGAUUCCCAGAGGAUGAAGUUAACAGACUCUGGUGAGAAAACAUCCAAGACCUGCUGAGAAUCUUGCCAAUGGCUCCUUGUUGGCAGGUGCCAAAGCCAAGAUUCUUGGCUGGAUGGCGAUGGCGGUCCACAGGUCAGUUUGAAAUUAUCUCAACAACUAUUGGAGGUAUUGGCAUGAAAUGUGGUACAAACAUUCAUAGUUCCCAGAGGAUGAAGUUUAGCAGCUCUGGUGAGAAAACAUCCCAAGACCUGCUGAGAAUCUUGGCGAUGGCUGCUUGUUGGCAGGUGCCAAAGCCAAGAUUCUUGGCUGGAUGGCGAUGGCGGUCCACAGGUCAUUCACACAUUACCUCAACAACUAUUGGAGGUAUGGCGUGAAAUUUGGUACAAACAUUCAUAGUUCCCAGAGGAUGACGCUAACUGACUCUGGUGAGAAGACCUGCCAAGAAUCUUGGCGAUUGGCCCCCUUCUUGGCAGGCUGCUUCUCCACACAGGGGCAGAGCUGACUAGAGAUAAGCACC
This is a long non-coding RNA of Acanthopagrus latus (yellowfin seabream), 2651 nucleotides long. RefSeq lists it as uncharacterized. The record is from RefSeq and is a predicted model, not a curated record. Lineage: Eukaryota; Metazoa; Chordata; Actinopteri; Spariformes; Sparidae. The transcript has 8 exons.